This is a long non-coding RNA of Lethenteron reissneri (Far Eastern brook lamprey), 1166 nucleotides long. RefSeq lists it as uncharacterized. The record is from RefSeq and is a predicted model, not a curated record. Lineage: Eukaryota; Metazoa; Chordata; Hyperoartia; Petromyzontiformes; Petromyzontidae.
CAGAAGUACUGUAGUAUACCACCAUCAUCAUCAUCACGACUACACAGACGCACGCAGACACACAAUCCGCCGCGUUCACUCACAGAAUUCGAAGCGGGCUGGAGCCAAAAACAAGGCAGACGAGAGAAAGCGGCCCGACACAAUGUGCGUGUGGCUGGGCAGCCAGGGCACAGAUUCCCACCAACACCAAACGCUCAGCGCAGUUCAAUGGAAGGGAGGGUUUGGUGGAAGCUGGCGGAGUUUGGAAGCACCGUGCGCAGACCUGUCAGCAGCGAGCCUUCGACACCCCCACUCUGGCCUCGAAGUGCACCUGGCCUGGCACAGGCGCCGUGAAGACGCCACCGUGGCGAAUGGCGGGUGUUGGUGCGUGACGUCAUUUAUGGACGGCCCCCAACGACAGGGUUUGCACACCCAGAGCGCACCUCUAGCGUGGAGUCAGUGGAUAUUUUCAAGGCUUAUUUUGUACAAACAUCCGGCUUCGGGGUUACGUUAACCACAUACAGCCACGGACAUGACUCCACGUCCAACCCUCCGGCGUCGCCACGCUUGUCAAGAGGGUGGGGUGAGGGGUGCGACAAUCAAAAUAUCACUAAUUCCUCACCACCACCACAAUAAUUAUUAUAAUUCUAGACGAGGGGUAUUAUAAUAUCCUCACCAUCAUCACUACCACAUUAAUACCAUCACCAAUACUGAAAACUAAUUUCUUUAAAACUGCUUUUUGUGUUUAGUUUGUUGUCGUUCCCCCACACACCCGAUUGACAUGGUUGGCUCUGUAGGGUCCGGGCACACAUGUACGUGUGUUGAACUUCUUUCGCACCAUACGUAACCAACCGUGCUAAACGGAGCAAAUUUGGCAACAUCACGAUAAUCAUUACCAACUAUCAUCGCCAUUAUGAGUAUGGUAUUACUACCAUAAACGUGACUUGGCUAUAAGCAUUUACAAGUGUGGGUGGGGGGCUGAGUGUUUAGCAGGGGGUGGUGGGGUCCCAGGCCGCCCCCUCCUCGACAUGCGAGGGGGCCGCCCACGUUGUACGUGUUGCUACAGAGGCACUGGUGUGCAACAAAAGAAAAGCUGUCACACAGCAAGCGCGGCAGAAUAACUUAAACGUGAACAAAGGUAAUCGAGCACUUUGAUGGACAGACUAUGAACCCCUUUGGUGGACUUU